GUUUGGUUACUCAUCUGGAAAUUUUAAUACUUUCUUCAGGGGCAGGGACUGGCAAUAAAAAAAUAGACCUAUAUAUCAAACCUUUAACUUCCAGCCAUCAUUGUGUGCUAUAAUACAGAUGGAGUGACUAUCAGCAAGCUUUACUGUGUUGGUUUAUUUUCUUUAGCAGAGAAUGUGGAUUUAAAUGGGAUAAAGCAACAAAGUCAACUUAGGGCCGGAGAGCCCAUCGGAACCUUCCAUUUCCUUUGCAAGCAGAGAUAACUGGCUACAGUCCAGCCUCCCCAGGACCUGAUGCCAAAGGAUAACUGCAAGAUCAGAAAGGUAUUGGAGAGCCUCUGCAGUGCAUUCACAGUGCCUCAGAUGGGUAUCAUUCAGCUGUCUUGUCCUGACCAAGGCUGGGAAAAUUUGAAAUGAUGACUUCAACCUACGGGCAAGGAAUCCACGAAGCAGCAUCCAGCAGGGUAUUGAUACAGCCAGACUUGCAGCAAGAUGGAGAAUAAAUUGAUGGUAAGUGGCUUGCAGGAGGCCUGAGCAUAUGAUAAAACACAGUUAAAAGAGUAUAACUCUUUGAUCUAGCUUUUAUAAACUCAGGCAGAGCAUAAGAAUUCCAGACAGAUUAAGAGAAAAAAGCCCUGGGCUGAGAGAGGCAGGAAAUCAGGGAUCACGAGAGAAGCAAAAUUAAUAAGAAGGAUGAAUAGAUGUAUAGACAUAGAUAGAUAGAUAGAUAGAUAGAGAGAGAGAGAGAGAGAGAGAGAGAGAGAUUUAUUACGGGAAUUAGCCCAUGUGAUGAUGAAGGCUGAGAAGUCCCACAACAUGCUAUCUGCAAGCUGGAGAACCAGGGAAGGUAGUGAGGCAAUUCAGUCUGAGUUCUAAGGCCUCACAAUUUGGGGGGCUGCCAGUCUAAUUUCUGGAGUCUGAAGGCCUGAGAACCUUGAGCCCUGGAGGGCAGGAGAAGAGGGAUGCUCUAGCUCUAGAAGAGAGAAAGGGAAUUCACCUUCCCUCAGCCUUUUUGUUCCAUCUGGGCCCUCAACAGAUUGGAUGGUGCCUACCCACACUGGUGAGGGUGAUCUUCUUUACACAGUCCACUGAUUCAAGUGCUGAUCUCUUCCAGAAACACCCGCACAGACACAUCCAGAAAUAAUGUUACCAACUAUCUAGCAUCCAUUAACACAUAAAGUUAACCUUGACUGCAGGAGACUGGGUUACAAUUCUUUCUUUGCCACUAACACUUAAUGGCUGUAAGUAUUACGACACUGGCUCAAAGGGCUAAGUAAAUUUAGUGAGGAUUAGCAGUGAGGAGGAAGGUGGUGCAGGGGAAAGUGGAAAGAGGACAAAUGAGAAAGGCCUAUAAGGAUCCUGGUUAGAGGGAAGGAGUUCCAUUGAGAAAUGAAACCACCAGACAAAUGAAUGUGACAGGUCAAUUUAAACACCAGAAACUGGUGUGUGCCCUAUAAUUUGGGAUGGCAUUAAUGCAUCUGAAGAGACACCUGUUCCCUGGGUGUGGGGAGCACUGGACUCUCAGGGGUACAGUGUAGCCACAC
Molecule: long non-coding RNA, 1541 nt
Filed under: Pan paniscus (pygmy chimpanzee)
Lineage: Eukaryota; Metazoa; Chordata; Mammalia; Primates; Hominidae
Description: lncRNA (ENSPPAG00000045466.1)
Source: RNAcentral